Molecule: ribosomal RNA, 301 nt
Filed under: uncultured bacterium
Lineage: Bacteria
Description: partial 16S ribosomal RNA
Rfam family: Bacterial small subunit ribosomal RNA
Source: RNAcentral
CAGUCGCCGCGGGAAUACGUAGGUGGCGAGCGUUGUCCGGAAUUAUUGGGCGUAAAGGGAGCGCAGGCGGACAUAUAAGUCCAUCUUAAAAGUGCGGGGCUCAACCCCGUGAGGGGAUGGAAACUGUAUGCCUUGAGUGCAGGAGAGGAAAGCGGAAUUCCCAGUGUAGCGGUGAAAUGCGUAGAUAUUGGGAGGAACACCAGUGGCGAAGGCGGCUUUCUGGACUGUAACUGACGCUGAGGCUCGAAAGCCAGGGGAGCGAACGGGAUUAGAUACCCGUGUAGUCCCUGUCUCUUAUACA